UCCCACUGUGAGUACCCGCCUUAGCCACUA
RNAcentral lists this non-coding RNA (30 nucleotides) under Homo sapiens (human). Lineage: Eukaryota; Metazoa; Chordata; Mammalia; Primates; Hominidae. The record is from RNAcentral.